GAUGAACGCUGGCGGCGUGCUUAACACAUGCAAGUCGAACGGAAAGGCUCCUGCUUGCAGGGGUACUCGAGUGGCGAACGGGUGAGUAACACGUGGGUGAUCUGCCCUGCACUUCGGGAUAAGCCUGGGAAACUGGGUCUAAUACCGGAUAGGACGAUGGUUUGGAUGCCAUUGUGGAAAGUUUUUUCGGUGUGGGAUGAGCUCGCGGCCUAUCAGCUUGUUGGUGGGGUAAGGGCCUACCAAGGCGUCGACGGGUAGCCGGCCUGAGAGGGUGUACGGCCACAUUGGGACUGAGAUACGGCCCAGACUCCUACGGGAGGCAGCAGGGGGGAAUAUUGCACAAUGGGCGCAAGCCUGAUGCAGCGACGCCGCGUGGGGAUGACGGCCUUCGGGUUGUAAACUCCUUUCGCUAGGGACGAAGCGCAAGUGACGGUACCUGGAGAAGAAGCACCGGCUAACUACGUG
RNAcentral lists this ribosomal RNA (465 nucleotides) under uncultured bacterium. Its description in RNAcentral is "partial 16S ribosomal RNA". It matches the Rfam family "Bacterial small subunit ribosomal RNA", at positions 28 to 507 of the family's 1533-position model. The record is from RNAcentral.